This 2224-nucleotide long non-coding RNA is filed under the name Homo sapiens (human). RNAcentral describes it as "HSALNT0003394". The record is from RNAcentral. Lineage: Eukaryota; Metazoa; Chordata; Mammalia; Primates; Hominidae.
AGGUGACCUGCGAGGAAGCUUGGCUGGGGGCCUAGAGGCUGCACCGGGGUGCACAGUGAGGUCAACUUCCCCCUUCCUGGGCCUGCACCCUGACACAGGGGUGUGCACCCCACGGCCCAGCUGGAUGUGUCUCCUGCUGUCUGCCUAUCUGUCUGCUGUGCCCUGGCCCACCGUGGGCUCUGGGCCUCUGCUGGGCUCCCCUGGCACCCAUGGGGCCUGAGUUCUCAUCAACAACCUGCUUCAAGGGGUGCGUGUCAGGGUCCUGGGGUAUGGGGGAGACCCCAGCCAGGUCCUGGUGCGGACAGCCCUGCUUCCCUACCCCCUCUCCCCUUCCCUCCCUCCUCCACUUCUCUCUGCAGCUAUUUAAAGCAAGUGGUGGCGUGGGAAACUUCUUCAGAUGUGUGGUUUCAUCUUCUUCAGCACAGGGACGGGGCGUCUGCUCGCUCUGGUGACUCAUCCAGAGUGAGAAAAGCCUUUUUGUUGUUUGAUGCUCGCUGGAGGCUCUGUAGCCUGAGAACCUGGCCCGAUGGGGCCUUCCCUGCUGAGACUCCUGGGAGGCCUUGGGAGUGCCCAGGGCAGCCCUUUUGUUCCAUCCCCAGACCCAGGGAGCCCGGGACCAGUGGAGCCCCUGAAGCUGAAAUACUCUGCUUAGAGUGAGCCUUCCUGACUGGUGGGUGGGGCAGGGGUGGCCAUUCUCAACACCCAGCUCAGCCACCACCUCCUCCAAGAAGCCUCCCUGAUUCCUCCAAAACCUCAGUCGAUCUCCACCUUAUUCAGUCCUCUAACCCUCAGUCUUCUUAUCUAUGAAAUGGAGCAGUGGGUCCAAGCUUCACAGAUCUGUGUGAAGAUAAACUGCGGAACACACACAGAUGCUCAGUAGGGCUUACCCUGCCUGUGAGCAGAGUCUGCUGCUAUCCCGGUUCCACAGACAAGGACAGAGGGGCUCAAAGAAGUCUGGGAAUGUGGAAGCCUGGGGAUUUGGAAGUCGGCUGGAGCUCUAGCUGCCGGCCUCUGUCAUUUGGGUGUGUUCUUUAUUACUACAGAGCGAUGCUGCAGAGAAAGAGGGCAUGAGGACUGGAGAUGGCUGGCCCUGGGCAGACCUUUCAGGGCCUCAGUUUCCUCACCUGUGAAACUGGACACUUGGCCUCCACCAUCCCCCAAGGCUCUCCCAGCUCAGUGGUGCUACAAUAGGAGGGAUGAUAUGUGGCCAAAGGGAGGGGAGUGGGUGGCCAGGACAGGCUGCCCUUUGCUGAGGCCUUUGUGACUCUGUUACCCCAAAUGGAAGCCAGAGAGGUAGAGUGACUUAGCCAAGGUCAUACAGCAACUCACUGGGGGGUUGGGGAAGGGAACCCUGCUUGACUGGGCGGGGCAGAACCUGGAGGCUCAGGCAUGUUGGGGAAGGAUGGGAGACUGCAGCUGAGAGUCCUCACUCCCAGCCCGUCUUCUGAAACACAGACGCUGGGAGAGCCAUCUCCACCAAGGCCAGAGCUGCCUGUCUCCAAACUGAAAGUCACAAAUGCACUGAAAACUUGAGGCCCUGCUCUGCCCAUUUCCAACUUUCUGCCCUGGCCCCAGAAUCAUAGGCAUCCCCCCAUUGUACAGAGGGGAAGGCUGAGGCCCAGCAAAGGCAGGGGACUUGUCCAAGGACUCCCAGGGAGGCCAUGCUAAAGCAGGGGCUAGCAUCCUGACUCUUGGUUCCCUGCCCAGUAGUCCCCACCAUCAUCGCCAAAUAAUAAUAAUAGUAAUAGGCCAGGCACAGUGGCUCACACCUGGGAUUCCAGCACUUUGGGAGGCUGAGGCGGGUGGGUGGCUUGAGCCCAGGAGGUCGAGGCUGCAGUGAGCUGUGAUUGCACCACUGCACUCCAGCCUGGGCAACAGAGCUAAGACCCUGUCUCAAAAUAAUAAUAAUAAUAAUAAAUGUAUCGAGGGCCCUGGAAAUCAGCUCUGGUCUGUCUGGGACUAUUCACACCUGUGCCAGCCAGAUUCGAUUCCUGCUUUGAUCCAACCCUUGCCUUACGGUUCAGCCUUGCCAGCCUCAGGGAUGGGGCACACUGUGUGCUGUAGAGACUUGGACACUACCCAUUGCCAGCCAAGCUGCCCCCAGGAAAGCCCUGAGUGUCAGUGCUCUGUUAGGCCUCGGCAGGGGGCCAGCAGCUGUCCUCCAGAAGCUUUCAGCCUAAGAAGGAAUGGUUUGCAGUUCUUUUCCAGCCCUUUAUAGUUUUAC